CACAAAUGCGGUCCCCGCCCUGAUGGGUUAUGGGUUUCACCUUAAGAACAACACCGCUCAAGGACAAGCAGUGAGGGCAUCAGGGCAGCCUACCCCAGAACAGCCGUUCUCUUGUCUGAUGAUGGAUUUGAAUUGAGCUUGGGCAUUAUUGCAAGUAUUGUCUAGUGAUUGUUGAUAUGUUCUCUAAAUAUGUGGAAUGUUUCCCUUGCAGGAAAGCGACUGCACUAUCAGUAGCCAAGACCCUCAUGUGAGACAUAAUACCGAGGUUUGGUAUUCGUAAAUUAAAUUAUUGAGAAUCUCAGAAGCUUAAAUUUAAAAAUAACAUUUAAAAUUCACUGUGCCUUCCACCCAUCGAGUGGGAGUACAGUGGGGAGAAAUUAAUCAAACGAUCAAGAGCAGUCUGAAUAAGGUUAUGGCAGAAACUAAACUUGAUUGAGUAACCACAUUACCUUUUAUUCAUGAAUACGAGGGGAAGAAAAUACCAAGCCACACCAUACAACCAGAUGAUUGGAUGGUGAUAAAAGACUUUUCUGGUCUCCAACACUCCGGUAAGAGUCGCCGAUUGGAACACGUUCAUUGCCGGGAAAUCAGCGCCCCAGUGGAAGCAUGAGGCUGCUCAUUAUACUCAUGGGAACCAUUGCACCUCUGAGUCUUCUCAUCAUGGUUCAACGGUAGGAGCAAAAUAAUGACUGCUCCAGGCGACAACAGAAUUUUAGUUAUUUGUCACUCAGCUUUGAAUAUACAGAGGUUUCAAAUGAAUCAGCUGGCUGGGUCUGCUUACACAUUCCACAUUCCUUACAUAGCAGUCAUCUGAUUGAUGAACAUUUCAACAUGGACGAAUAUUUUUUUGAUGUUCAUUUAGUAGUGUUCCCCAUGUUUGGCAAUGCAUCAGCUGGACAGAGUUCAGACCACAGAUUUGGGAAAAUGCUUCAGCUGAUGCCAGUAGAUGGCAGUGGCUACCAGUCAGUGUGAGAUUCACAGGCACAGGACGUCUUGCUUGGUAGCAAGCUUUGCUGGAAUACCAGAAACAAGCUAAGCGAGCUGAGAGCGACCUGCCACCGCUCAGCAUCCUGCUGCCCCCUCCAUGGGUCCUGCUUCCACUGCUCAGUGUCCUGCUGCCACCUCCAUGGGUCCUGCUACCACCGCUCAGUGUCCUGCUGCCACCUCCAUGGGUCCCACUGCUAUUGCCACUGUGUCAAGUACCUGCUACCACUAUGGGCCCUGUCAUUGCUACGAGUGGAGCUGAUGUUGAGCUGAUUCACUGAGGACGCUUCGGAAGCCCUAGUAACUGUAGAUGGAAAUUUGAUCCUAUAACAUUAGAAUGCACACAAC
Molecule: long non-coding RNA, 1332 nt
Organism: Anguilla anguilla (European eel)
Lineage: Eukaryota; Metazoa; Chordata; Actinopteri; Anguilliformes; Anguillidae
Exons: 3
Source: RefSeq, a predicted model, not a curated record